UUCAUGCGCCGGUUCUGGAACCAGACUUUGACCUGCCUUUCGGUGAGAUCCAGCAAGGCUGCGAUCUCGACGCGGCGUGGCCGGCACAGAAAAGAUGAGUGAGGAUCCCUGCGUUGGAGGAAGAGGGAGUGGAAAGAGGCUUCCACUCUUUGAAAAAGGCAUCCAUGCUUCUCUGUGACACCUCCCUCCCCCCGAAAACAAGCAGAGUCUAAGAUGUGCAUGUACCCACUCAAGCCUCAAGCUCAUAUCUGUAUCCAUAUCCAGGGACAUGAACAAGAACUCAGCCCAGCCAGGAGAAGGCUGGUUAGCAGAGAAAUGGCAACUGAGCCCGGAGCUGGAACUAGAAACUUUCUGUCAAUGUAACAUCUGCGUGGGUGGUGACCCAAUGGUGGUUGGGCUUCGGGUCACGUGACAUCUUCUUUGUAGCUCCGGAAGAGGAUUGCGAAGAAGUUUAGGUUUCGUGGAAGAAACCGAUAACUGAAAAAAAUCAAGAUUUGGGGGGAAUUACCUACAAAGAUGUAAGGUAAGUCCGUUGGUUGGUGAUGGCCUAGCCAUCGCGUCC
Long non-coding RNA from Cercocebus atys (sooty mangabey), 562 nucleotides. RefSeq lists it as uncharacterized. NCBI's taxonomy places the organism in Eukaryota, Metazoa, Chordata, Mammalia, Primates, Cercopithecidae. The transcript has 6 exons. The record is from RefSeq and is a predicted model, not a curated record.